CCUACGGGCGGCAGCAGUGAGGAAUAUUGGUCAAUGGACGAGAGUCUGAACCAGCCAAGUAGCGUGAAGGAUGACUGCCCUAUGGGUUGUAAACUUCUUUUAUAUGGGAAUAAAAUGUUCCACGUGUGGGAUUUUGUAUGUACCAUAUGAAUAAGGAUCGGCUAACUCCGUGCCAGCAGCCGCGGUAAUACGGAGGAUCCGAGCGUUAUCCGGAUUUAUUGGGGUGAAAAGGGGCGUAGGUGGAUUGUUAAGUCAGUUGUGAAAGUUUGCGGCUUAACCGGGAAAUUGCAGUUGAAACUGGCAGUCUUGAGUACAGUAGAGGUGGGCGGAAUUCGUGGUGUAGCGGUGAAAUGCUUAGAUAUCACGAAGAACUCCGAUUGCGAAGGCAGUUCACUGGACUGCAACUGACACUGAGGCUCGAAAGUGUGGGUAUCAAACAGGAUUAGAUACCCGAGUAGUC
RNAcentral lists this ribosomal RNA (460 nucleotides) under uncultured bacterium. Its description in RNAcentral is "partial 16S ribosomal RNA". It matches the Rfam family "Bacterial small subunit ribosomal RNA", at positions 338 to 795 of the family's 1533-position model. The record is from RNAcentral.